RNAcentral lists this ribosomal RNA (745 nucleotides) under Bdellovibrio bacteriovorus. RNAcentral's name for it is "bacterial SSU rRNA". It matches the Rfam family "Bacterial small subunit ribosomal RNA", at positions 89 to 850 of the family's 1533-position model. Lineage: Bacteria; Pseudomonadati; Bdellovibrionota; Bdellovibrionia; Bdellovibrionales; Pseudobdellovibrionaceae. The record is from RNAcentral.
CAGCUCUUUGCGCCGGGUAGUACGCGGGGGUAAUCUGCCUUAGAGUGGGGGAUAACUAGUCGAAAGAUUAGCUAAUACCGCAUAAGACCACAAGAACUGCGGUUCAAGGGGUCAAAGGUUUUUCGCUCUAAGAUGAGUCCGCGUAAGAUUAGCUAGUUGGUGAGGUAAUGGCUCACCAAGGCGACGAUCUUUAACUGGUCUGAGAGGAUGAUCAGUCACACUGGAACUGAGACACGGUCCAGACUCCUACGGGAGGCAGCAGUAGGGAAUAUUGCACAAUGGAGGAAACUCUGAUGCAGCGACGCCGCGUGAGUGAUGAAGGCCUUCGGGUCGUAAAGCUCUGUCGCAGGGGAAUAACACAAUGAAUGUACCCUGUAAGAAAGGAUCGGCUAACUUCGUGCCAGCAGCCGCGGUAAGACGAGGGAUCCUAGCGUUGUUCGGAAUUAUUGGGCGUAAAGCGGAUGUAGGUGGCUUUGUAAGUCAGAUGUGAAAGCCCAGGGCUCAACCCUGGAAGUGCAUUUGAUACUGCGAAGCUUGAGUGUCGGAGAGGUUACUAGAAUUGUUGGUGUAGUGGUGAAAUACGUAGAUAUCAACAGGAAUACCGGAGGCGAAGGCGGGUAACUGGCCGAACACUGACACUGAGAUCCGAAAGCGUGGGGAUCAAACAGGAUUAGAUACCCUGGUAGUCCACGCCGUAAACGAUGGAUACUUGUUGUUAGAGGUAUUGACCCCUUUCAGUGAACGA